CUGAAACCGUGUACGUACAAGCAGUGGGAGCCUCUUAAUGGGGUGACUGCGUACCUUUUGUAUAAUGGGUCAGCGACUUAUAUUCUGUAGCAAGGUUAACCGAAUAGGGGAGCCGAAGGGAAACCGAGUCUUAACUGGGCGUUAAGUUGCAGGGUAUAGACCCGAAACCCGGUGAUCUAGCCAUGGGCAGGUUGAAGGUUGGGUAACACUAACUGGAGGACCGAACCGACUAAUGUUGAAAAAUUAGCGGAUGACUUGUGGCUGGGGGUGAAAGGCCAAUCAAACCGGGAGAUAGCUGGUUCUCCCCGAAAGCUAUUUAGGUAGCGCCUCGUGAAUUCAUCUCCGGGGGUAGAGCACUGUUUCGGCAAGGGGGUCAUCCCGACUUACCAACCCGAUGCAAACUGCGAAUACCGGAGAAUGUUAUCACGGGAGACACACGGCGGGUGCUAACGUCCGUCG
This 459-nucleotide ribosomal RNA is filed under the name Escherichia coli. RNAcentral describes it as "partial 23S ribosomal RNA". It matches the Rfam family "Bacterial large subunit ribosomal RNA", at positions 550 to 1010 of the family's 2925-position model. The record is from RNAcentral. Lineage: Bacteria; Pseudomonadati; Pseudomonadota; Gammaproteobacteria; Enterobacterales; Enterobacteriaceae.